This 253-nucleotide ribosomal RNA is filed under the name uncultured bacterium. RNAcentral describes it as "partial 16S ribosomal RNA". It matches the Rfam family "Bacterial small subunit ribosomal RNA", at positions 524 to 776 of the family's 1533-position model. The record is from RNAcentral.
UACGGAGGGGGCAAGCGUUACUCGGAAUUAUUGGGCGUAAAGGGCGCGUAGGCGGUCGUGCGCGUCGGAGGUGAAAUCCCCGGGCUUAACCCGGGAACUGCGUCCGAUACUGGCAGGCUUGAAUCCGGGAGAGGGAUGCGGAAUUCCACGUGUAGCGGUGAAAUGCGUAGAGAUGUGGAGGAACACCGAUGGCGAAGGCAGCCUCCUGGGCCAAUACUGACGCUCAUGCACGAAAGCGUGGGGAGCAAACAGG